Molecule: ribosomal RNA, 372 nt
Filed under: uncultured organism
Description: bacterial SSU rRNA
Rfam family: Bacterial small subunit ribosomal RNA
Source: RNAcentral
CGUAGGGGGCAAGCGUUGUCCGGAAUCAUUGGGCGUAAAGCGCGUGUAGGCGGUCCGGUAAGUCGGUUGUGAAAGUCCAGGGCUCAACCCUGGGAUGCCGACCGAUACUGUCGGACUAGAGUUCGGAAGAGGCGAGUGGAAUUCCCGGUGUAGCGGUGAAAUGCGCAGAUAUCGGGAGGAACACCAAUGGCGAAGGCAGCUCGCUGGGACGUUACUGACGCUGAGACGCGAAAGCGUGGGGAGCAAACAGGAUUAGAUACCCUGGUAGUCCACGCCGUAAACGAUGGGCACUAGGUGUGGCGGGUGUCGACUCCCGCCGUGCCGGAGCUAACGCAUUAAGUGCCCCGCCUGGGGAGUACGGCCGCAAGGCUA